Molecule: long non-coding RNA, 5489 nt
Organism: Anas platyrhynchos (mallard)
Lineage: Eukaryota; Metazoa; Chordata; Aves; Anseriformes; Anatidae
Source: RefSeq, a predicted model, not a curated record
UUUAUUUUAUUCCCGCAGCGCUCAGGUUUGUGCUCCGUGGAGGCUGGGAGGUGGCGUCUGGUCAGGGAGACGUGAAGGGGGCUGCCCGCCCCAUCCCGCUGCGGGGACACUGCGUGGUCCCUGGCACCUGGGGGCUGCAAGGUCGGCGAGGGUGAUCGGGGAGAAGUGGUGUGCUUCUAGACCUAAUUCUUUAAAAACGCCAGUACGGAGCUCAUGGCUUGUUGUCCUCGCGCACUCAGAGCCUGGUGCAUGGAUGCACAUUCCGCCCUUCAGAGACAAUGAAGAUACGAAUUUGUAUCUCGCUCCUUGUUUCCCAGCUCCUGAGGCCAGUGAAGGACAAACGGCAGUCUGAGCAAAGAGAAGACAAAUAGUAAAGCAAAAAGAAGCACCUUGGAGUUGAAACAUUCCAGAUGGAUUUGGAAGAGUUCUGUGUGGAUUUUCUGAUAGAAUGUAGCAACCACAAGAGAUUAAAUGCUGUUGAGUGUAAUGAGGUGUGAAGAUGACAAGAUAAAUGAACCAGAGGCGCCUCAUCUUCCAACACACAGCGGUACAGGUUUUGUAUUCCAGACACAAACAUCACCUUGAAGUCAUACUAGAUGAAUCGCUGUAAGUAUAACUGAGAUAAUUUUUGUUUGUUUGUUUGUUUUUUUUCCGAUUACCUUUGUGCUUUAAAUAUGGUCUUCCUGAGUUAAGCAAUGACUUAAUUGCCUGUGAGAUUUGUCAGAAAGUUCUCUCUGAAAUAAACACAGUACUAGAAGUUUUUCUUUCUUUUCACACAUUGGGAGGAAGGACUGCUUCUAGUGACAGGGUACUAGACUAGAGUGAUCCUGGUCUCUUAGGAUGCUAGUACUUGACUGAUACAUAAAGCUCAGUAUAUUAGAAUUGUUAACUGUACCAUAGCAAAAUAUUUUUCUGUAGUUCUUCUAACAGUCCCUUUAAAACCAUGUGCAGAAUGUUACUUCCCAUGUGAAUAUUAUUUCUGACAACUCUGGUAUGGAUGAUAUGUUGGUGGAAAAUGUGAAGGACGGGAAUCAGCCAGUGAGCCAAGAUGGGACUUUAAAAAGAUAUUUACAAAUUAUUUAGCUACUAUGAAAAAGAAAAGAGAAGGCUGACUAAAGGUCUCAAUUAAUACAUUGUAUCAGCCUCUCUCAAUUUAGUUCCUCUUCUUUGUUGCUUUAAGACAACAUUGAUCUAAAAUUUAUUAGCAGUGUUUCAUUAACACCAGUGGAGGGCAGGCUUGAAUUGGAAACUCUGCUUGCUACUUCAAUUACUUGAACUUAAAAUAACAGAUAGUCCCUCGAGCUCAAAGCUGAUGGAAUUUCUCUACUAUUCUAAUUACUCUUCCGCUGGAUAAAAGCUUCUUUACAAUUGCUGUUUGACAAAAUGAAUGUUUUGCUGUGUUGGAGAAAGAAUAGUGAAUGUUUAAAUAAAGAUGAUAAUAUGAAAGUGGAUGAGUCAGUUUAUUAGCAGCUGUGUGCUAUUCAUGGGGGAGAAUCCAUGCUGCUUAAUAAUUAAUCACAUAUAUCUUAAAACGGUUUUUAAAAACAAGUGAACAUCAUUAUCCCCGCUUUAUAGAUGAAGAAACUGAGGAAUAGAGAGGUAUCUUUGCAAAUUAUCAAUUUAGGUGAUCUGCAGAGGCAAGAACAAAAUCCAGAUUUCUGAGAUCUAGUCCAGUGCUCAAGUAUAUCUUUUGCAUAAAUAAACUACAGUAUGUCUAACAGCUACAAACAUGGAACUGACUGCUUGCAGCCCAAAUUGCUGAGGAGCUUACAAUAAUGAAAUGGGCAGGUAACCUGACAGGCAGUGCUGUUUCUCCUGUAGAGCCUGGGUCAGAUCAGUUGGCUGAAGAUCUGCACUAAAAAUUGUAUGUUAUUAAAAGAAGUACUCUGCAUGUUCUUGUAUAUUUAUCAUUUUUUAAGUUAGAUUGUACUCUCUCCAAGGAAUGAAAAGCCUUUCUAUGUAGACCUUAAAAGCCAUUCCAGUCUGAGUACUAGGAAAUGUAUGGUUAAAAAGUCAAUUUGCAUACAGGUGAAGGGUUAAGAUACUAACUGAUUGUUCCUCCAUUCCUUUCAUCUUUAAUUAUGAGGGUUUCAAAUUAUGAGCAAAACAUGAGGCUUCCUAUUAACUCACUGAGACCAUCCUAUUUACUGUACCUGUGGUCAGUAACAUUCAUGGGAUUUGUGACUCAUCAUUAAGUGUUCUCCUUCAUUAAGGCACUAAAUUGAAAAGCUAAAUAUAGUUGCUAUUUUUAUUUGAUUAAAUAUAUGUAUUCUACUUUAUAUGCUGUCUUACGAGGUCAUUACCCAUUGUAACAGCUUUUAAAGUAUUAAAACGCUCUGCAUUUAUUUAUGCGUAAGCCUUAGCAUAAAUUGUUCUGUUUCUAGAAAAGACUGGAGGCAUACUGUUAUGAAGCCUCCCAUGCCUAAGACUUGUGUAAGACAUACCAGAGAACAUUUGGUGCUGCAUAUUAAAAACUCCAUGUGUAGAAUGAGUGAGCACAUUGCACAAUGCAUUUUUCCUUUCUUCUUAUUGCUAGUUUGCAGUGGCCAUCGUGUUGAUGGUGAGAAUUAGUCAUUGGUUUAUGACUCCAAUGAAAAGGACCACGUUCAAAAUCAUAAGGUAGAAUGUAAAUGAGUGGGCACUUAGAGUUUGAACUCAAACACUGCAUAACCUAUUACAGUGUUACUCAUUUUUGGUUUAUUUCCAGGCAAAUCUUGUUAAAAUAAGAGUCAGAAAUGUCUGGCAGUGAUUUAAAGUACAAUGUGGCAAUUAUCCCAAAAGUUAUUACUGUACAUUCAGGCAAUGAAUUUCAGGUUGAUGAUUUCUCUGUGUACUUUGUGUACCUCACAAAGAGUUGACAUCUCCAAAUAUUCAUAACUUUCCAUAGCUCACAGAGGCCUGAAAAUGCAAUUCAAAAGUGAAGAAAUUUUCUCUUCUGCACAAGGUAAGCAUCAACACUUUUCUAUUUUUAAAUGAUUGUUAUGUUUAUGGCUUACAAGCUGUCUGACAAGAAAACUUCUCCUCUUAAAAUGACCAGUAGUUGAAGGUGUUUACUUACAGACUAAUUUUGCAGCAAAUCAGUACCUGCUAGCACAAGAAAAAGGAAGAAAGCUAAGAAAGCUAAUGGUUCAGUUGACUAAAACUGUUGCUUUAAGACAUGUGUUUCCCACUGUGAGACUUCUUUAUUCUUUAAUUCAUCCCUAAUUUUAAAUUGCUGCUUGUAAAUUUCCAAAACAAAAUGUUUCAUACCCCCAGGAUAAAUGUAAUGAUAUGGGGAAGGAUACAUGUAAUAUGUUUAAGUCUAAAAUUAAAUCUUAAUUCCAGUGAAUUAAGACCAAUGUCUUCCAGUAUCUUUUAGAUUUCCUGUAUUUCAGCAUGCAAAGGCUUUAGCUCUUUUGCUUAACAGUCUCAGUCUCUUGCAAAGCACUAAUAUUCUCUUCAUCUUCAGUGCAGAAGUACAAUAAAAUGGAGGAAGUAGCACAUUCUGCAGCUGGAGAGCAAAGAUGUGGGUUCAUGGGAAGGACAGCAUCCAGAUAAAUCUAAGUCCAUCUUCCUAGCUUGUAGUUGGUUUUGUUUACAUUUUGCUCCAUAAGAAAAACAGAAACUCUUAUUGGUAAAAUUUCCUUCAGAUUACAACCAGAGAUAAACCCAUUCUGUACUCCUAAAUUAAAGUUUUCUUGUCAGAUAGCUUGUAAGCGAUAAACACAAAAAUCAUGUACAAAUAAAAAAGUGUUGAUGAAGCAACUAUUUGAAAUAGGAUGAAUACGAAAAUUAACAUUGAAAAUGCACUGAAGAUGGGGAAAAAUGAGAGGAUAGUUCCACUGCACCACCUCUAUCUGUUCAAUACACUGAGCUAAAGGAGAAUUUUACCUUGUUGUUGUUACCUGUGUGACUGAUUACUUACUUCAGUUAAAACCAUUAGUAGUUGUUAAGGGUAAAUAUGCUUGUGCUUUUGAGGGCAUGGCAAGUGUUUCCUACUGAAAGCUUCAGAGGUUUUCAGCUCCACUUCCAUGUAGCUUCCAUAUAACUUUUCUUAAAGCAGUCUUCGGUGGUAUAUCUGUUUGUUUGUACUCAACUGUCCCUUUUAUUUGUAAUAUAUAACGUGUUCAAAAAGCUCAUGAUUUAGGAGUAGUUAAGAUAUUACUACCUCAGAACCAUAAAAUGUCAUUGUUACGUACACUUGUGUUUGUUCUGCUGAGCAGCAAUUACAGAGGGAGCUGCAGAUAAUGCCAAAUACCUGUUAUAGAGCAGUGGCGAUUGCUAUAGGCAGAUUGACCAAACAUUUUUGCUAUAUUCCUCUACAUGAGUGCUCAAGUGUCCUUCCCUCUUUCAGUAAAUGCCUAUGUUUAUACUCACUGUCACAGGUAGCAGAGAAUCACCCAUUUAUUCUUUGUGGAGAACUUUGUGGAGUCUACUACCUGUGAGCAGACUCUGCUUAAAUUAGCUGGAACUCCUAAUCACAAAUCUCAUUUUUCACAUCCUUCAGCAUCCAACAGUCUGCUGCAACUCCUGUUAUACCUUCUGGGAUUCUAUGUAUAGGAAUUUCUUUUCUUCCCCAGGUGGCUCCAAGCCAGAAACAUAUCCGUGUGCAGAAAUGAGUCUGAAUGUUGUUCACACCACUUUUUUUGUGUUUGUUUUUCUUAGUAGUUUCUACUCUUGAACUGGUCACCAAAACUGCCAGUAAGCCUCAGCGUUCUUCUAGAAAGUAAGUACUGCAAAAGCCUUCCUCUCAGAGGACUAAACAUUAGAUGUUACCCGGGAGCCAUCUGUAUUUGAACUUAGUUAUCAGAAAAAGAUCUUACGUGUUUGCUCUGACACAAUUAUUUAUUUAUUAUUUGGAAUUUAGAUUGGGCUUCUGCAGAAAGUAGGAAGGCUUUCCUACUUUCUGGGAAGUAGCUCACCAGCCAGUUGGCUUCUGCUGUCCCCAGGGCUAGCCAUGAGCUGGCCUUUCCAGAUGCUUGUUGACAGUCUUAUGCUUGCAAUUUUUGCCAGGCCAGUAACAUGAUCACUGCAUAACAGCCUGCCUCACAGCAAGUCGAGGAAAAGAGGGCAGAUGCUAGCAGGAAUUGAGACUACUUGGAGAUUGAUGCCUGGCAAUAUUCACCAGAGGCCUGAGGAAGGUGAAGGCUUUCAGAGACCAGGGCUAAGCCCUACGCUGGGUUUACGUGGCAAGGUUUUGGUAGUGUGGGGGCUGCAGGGGUGGCCUCUGCAAGGAGUCCAGGAGCUACCCCAUGAUAAGAGUUCAGAAAGGACGGCAUCCUGUGGGAGGGACCCCACGUGGAGCAGGGUCAGAUGAGUGACCAUAAAGGAGCAUUGGAGAUGAAGAGUCAGAGACUGAGCACAGCCCCCAUUCCCUGUUCCCCUGUGCCACUUAGGGGGAGGACGUAGAGUAGGGUGGAUGGGGGGGAGGAAGGUGGUUUUAGUUUGUUUUUACUUUGCACUGCUCUAGUCUAUUAUCAAUAGGAAAUAAAUUAUAUUAAUCACCCUUA